AGCAGCCGCGGUAAUUCCAGCUCCAAUAGCGUAUAUUAAAGUUGUUGCAGUUAAAAAGCUCGUAGUUGAAUUUCGGGAUCAAUGCGUCGGUCGUGCCUUCGGUACGUACUAGCGUCAUUGAUUCCUCCCUUCUGAAGAACCGUGAUGUCAUUAAUUUGGUGUUACGGGGAAUCAGGACUGUUACCUUGAAAAAUUAGAGUGUUUAAAGCAGGCUAACGCUUGAAUACAUUAGCAUGGAAUAAUGAAAUAGGACGUUCGAACCUAUUUUGUUGGUUUCUAGGAUCGACGUAAUGAUUAAUAGGGAUAGUUGGGGGCAUUAGUAUUCAAUUGUCAGAGGUGAAAUUCUUGGAUUUAUUGAAGACUGACUACUGCGAAAGCAUUUGCCAAGGAUGUUUUCAUUAAUCAAGAACGAAAGUUAGGGGAUCGAAGACGAUCAGAUACCGUCGUAGU
RNAcentral lists this ribosomal RNA (450 nucleotides) under uncultured Glomus. Its description in RNAcentral is "SSU rRNA". It matches the Rfam family "Eukaryotic small subunit ribosomal RNA", at positions 569 to 1024 of the family's 1831-position model. The record is from RNAcentral. Lineage: Eukaryota; Fungi; Glomeromycota; Glomeromycetes; Glomerales; Glomeraceae.